UCCUAUAACUUCUGCGGAAUGAGCCUUCAGGAACUGCUCUGCAGAUAUUAUAGGAUUGUGACAAGACAAGGGCAGGAGGAUUCUAUGGGGUUACCAAUUUUGCAUCGCUGUUUGAGUCACGUCAUGAAAAAUGAAGGACCUCUGCCGGAAACAUGCCUCAAGACAUUACCACCUGGCCAUGCAUGUGUUUGGUCGAAUGACACAGGCCACAACACUUGAAGAGAUGGAUGAGGUGUUUAUCAGUGCCACGAUUGUUUUCUCCAGUUCCCACAGUGGAACUAAUGUUGAGAAACAUUUUCAAAAUCUUCAGAAACUGUUGACUGAAAGAGGACAAUGUGGCAUUGAUGACACAGCCAUUUUGGAGCAAGACUUUGUGAAUGAAGUUGGACCAACACCAUUCCAGCAUCAUUUUGAGGAUAUUAUAGUAUAUUAUAGUAGAGGGA
Long non-coding RNA from Sander lucioperca (pikeperch), 443 nucleotides. RefSeq lists it as uncharacterized. NCBI's taxonomy places the organism in Eukaryota, Metazoa, Chordata, Actinopteri, Perciformes, Percidae. The record is from RefSeq and is a predicted model, not a curated record. The transcript has 3 exons.